UACGGAGGGAGCUAGCGUUGUUCGGAAUUACUGGGCGUAAAGCGCACGUAGGCGGCUUUGUAAGUUAGAGGUGAAAGCCCGGGGCUCAACCCCGGAAUUGCCUUUAAGACUGCAUCGCUUGAAUCCGGGAGAGGUGAGUGGAAUUCCGAGUGUAGAGGUGAAAUUCGUAGAUAUUGGGAAGAACACCGGUGGCGAAGGCGGCUCACUGGCUCGUUUCUGACGCUCAGGCGCGAUAGCGUGGGGAUCAAACAGG
Molecule: ribosomal RNA, 253 nt
Filed under: uncultured bacterium
Lineage: Bacteria
Description: partial 16S ribosomal RNA
Rfam family: Bacterial small subunit ribosomal RNA
Source: RNAcentral